This 529-nucleotide ribosomal RNA is filed under the name Salmonella enterica subsp. enterica serovar Paratyphi B var. L(+) tartrate +. RNAcentral's name for it is "bacterial SSU rRNA". It matches the Rfam family "Bacterial small subunit ribosomal RNA", at positions 993 to 1522 of the family's 1533-position model. Lineage: Bacteria; Pseudomonadati; Pseudomonadota; Gammaproteobacteria; Enterobacterales; Enterobacteriaceae. The record is from RNAcentral.
GAAGUUUUCAGAGAUGAGAAUGUGCCUUCGGGAACUGUGAGACAGGUGCUGCAUGGCUGUCGUCAGCUCGUGUUGUGAAAUGUUGGGUUAAGUCCCGCAACGAGCGCAACCCUUAUCCUUUGUUGCCAGCGGUUAGGCCGGGAACUCAAAGGAGACUGCCAGUGAUAAACUGGAGGAAGGUGGGGAUGACGUCAAGUCAUCAUGGCCCUUACGACCAGGGCUACACACGUGCUACAAUGGCGCAUACAAAGAGAAGCGACCUCGCGAGAGCAAGCGGACCUCAUAAAGUGCGUCGUAGUCCGGAUUGGAGUCUGCAACUCGACUCCAUGAAGUCGGAAUCGCUAGUAAUCGUGGAUCAGAAUGCCACGGUGAAUACGUUCCCGGGCCUUGUACACACCGCCCGUCACACCAUGGGAGUGGGUUGCAAAAGAAGUAGGUAGCUUAACCUUCGGGAGGGCGCUUACCACUUUGUGAUUCAUGACUGGGGUGAAGUCGUAACAAGGUAACCGUAGGGGAACCUGCGGUUGGA